Molecule: ribosomal RNA, 297 nt
Filed under: uncultured bacterium
Lineage: Bacteria
Description: partial 16S ribosomal RNA
Rfam family: Bacterial small subunit ribosomal RNA
Source: RNAcentral
AACGAACGCUGGCGGCAUGCCUAACACAUGCAAGUCGAACGAAGCCUUCGGGCUUAGUGGCGCACGGGUGCGUAACGCGUGGGAAUCUGCCCUUGGGUUCGGAAUAACAGUUAGAAAUGACUGCUAAUACCGAAUGAUGUCUUCGGACCAAAGAUUUAUCGCCCAAGGAUGAGCCCGCGUCGGAUUAGCUAGUUGGUGAGGUAAAGGCUCACCAAGGCGACGAUCCGUAGCUGGUCUGAGAGGAUGAUCAGCCACACUGGGACUGAGACACGGCCCAGACUCCUACGGGAGGCAGCA